This 68-nucleotide transfer RNA is filed under the name uncultured eukaryote. It matches the Rfam family "tRNA". From Rfam's summary of the family: Transfer RNA (tRNA) molecules are approximately 80 nucleotides in length. Their secondary structure includes four short double-helical elements and three loops (D, anti-codon, and T loops). Further hydrogen bonds mediate the characteristic L-shaped molecular structure. tRNAs have two regions of fundamental functional importance: the anti-codon, which is responsible for specific mRNA codon recognition, and the 3' end, to which the tRNAs corresponding amino acid is attached (by aminoacyl-tRNA synthetases). tRNAs cope with the degeneracy of the genetic code in two manners: having more than one tRNA (with a specific anti-codon) for a particular amino acid; and 'wobble' base-pairing, i.e. permitting non-standard base-pairing at the 3rd anti-codon position. The record is from RNAcentral.
AAAUUAGCUCAGUUUGGUAGAGCUUUUGUUUUGUAAACAGGUUGUCGAUGGUUCAAAUCCGUCAUUUG